Molecule: unclassified non-coding RNA, 806 nt
Filed under: Bombus terrestris (buff-tailed bumblebee)
Lineage: Eukaryota; Metazoa; Arthropoda; Insecta; Hymenoptera; Apidae
Description: misc RNA ENSBTSG00005020849.1
Source: RNAcentral
AGAAAUAAGAUGUCGUACGCCAUUUUUCCAUUAUAUAAAUAGACAUGCGUUUAUCGAUAGUUUAAAAAUUUGCUUAUAUUUCGUUUACAAAAAUAAAAUAAAACGCGAGAUAAUUCAUCCUAUCUAUGAAUGAAAAAUAAAAUUUCCUAUCUAAUCGAGACUAAAGACGUUCUCAUCGAGUCUUAACUAAAGUAAAGAGAAAGAGAUUUCCGCGAGUUAUGGAAUUAAUGAUUCUUCGAUAGAAUCCCGAUUAAUGAUUGCUCGCAUCCGGCGAAACCUGAAAUUUUGAUUCAUUGAUCAUGCUUUCACGUUUCGUCCUCUCCUGUUUUCCUUCUUUUUCUUAUAUAUCUACUUAUUUUUCAGUCCUCCAAUUAUUUAAUUUUUUUAAAUUAUUUUCUUUAUUUUAUUCUUUCGAAACGCAGGAAAAAAUUGGUGCCUUUAGCGAUCGACGUACGCAUCACGAUCCUGUUCCAGUUUAUCGAGGGUAGCCAGCCAGACCGUGAACGCAUACGACGCUCUGUGGAUAAGGAUGACAGGGAUGCUGGUGCUGAAGCACGAGGGUUGUUGUCGUCGUAGGUGGAGGAGGAGGAGGAGGCGGAGGUGGUGGAGGAGGAGGAAGGGAAGUGAGCCACGUCACGCCUGGCUCCGCUCUGUGUCAUUUGCUGUUCUGUUGUAGUGCCGCGUUGAUUUGUGCCCACAGUUCUUUGGUACAGGAUUGAGAUCUAUAAAUGAAAUUAUAUUUCCAAUAUCAGUUUUAUGGAUUUAUGCUUUAUGAUUAGUAAACCACAUGUGUUUAAAAAUUUAUG